CCUACGGGUGGCAGCAGUGGGGGAUAUUGCACAAUGGAGGAAACUCUGAUGCAGCGACGCCGCGUGAGGGAAGACGGUCCUCGGAUUGUUAACCUCUGUCUUUGGGGAAGAAAAUGACGGUACCUAAAGAGGAAGCACCGUCUAACAACGUGCCAGAAGCUGCGGUAAUAUGUCGGGAGCCGGCGUUGUCCGGAGGUACUGGGUGUAAGGGGAGCGUAGGCGGGCGAGAAAGUUGAAUGUUAAAUCUACCGGCUUAACUGGUAGCUGCGUUCCAAACUGCUUGUCUUGAGUGAAGUAGAGGCAGGCGGAAUUCCUAGUGUAGCGGUGAAAUGCGUAGAUAUUACGAGGAACACCAGUGGCGAAGGCGGCCUGCUGGGCUUUAACUGACGCUGAGGCUCGAAAGCGUGGGGAGCGAACAGGAUUAGAUACCCGAGUAGUC
Molecule: ribosomal RNA, 439 nt
Filed under: uncultured bacterium
Lineage: Bacteria
Description: partial 16S ribosomal RNA
Rfam family: Bacterial small subunit ribosomal RNA
Source: RNAcentral